UACGUAGGGUGCGAGCGUUAAUCGGAAUUACUGGGCGUAAAGCGUGCGCAGGCGGUUUUGUAAGCCAGAUGUGAAAUCCCCGGGCUUAACCUGGGAAUGGCAUUUGGGACUGCAAGGCUUGAGUGCGGCAGAGGAGACUGGAAUUCCCGGUGUAGCAGUGAAAUGCGUAGAUAUCGGGAGGAAUACCAGUGGCGAAGGCGGCGACCUGGACGGACAUUGACGCUGAGACGCGAAAGCGUGGGGAGCAAACAGG
Molecule: ribosomal RNA, 253 nt
Filed under: uncultured bacterium
Lineage: Bacteria
Description: partial 16S ribosomal RNA
Rfam family: Bacterial small subunit ribosomal RNA
Source: RNAcentral